Molecule: ribosomal RNA, 253 nt
Filed under: uncultured bacterium
Lineage: Bacteria
Description: partial 16S ribosomal RNA
Rfam family: Bacterial small subunit ribosomal RNA
Source: RNAcentral
UACGUAGGGGGCAAGCGUUAUCCGGAUUUACUGGGUGUAAAGGGAGCGUAGACGGCAGCGCAAGCCUGGAGUGAAAGGAUGGGGCCCAACCCCAUGACUGCUCUGGGAACUGUGCGGCUAGAGUGCCGGAGGGGUAAGCGGAAUUCCUAGUGUAGCGGUGAAAUGCGUAGAUAUUAGGAGGAACACCAGUGGCGAAGGCGGCUUACUGGACGGUAACUGACGUUGAGGCUCGAAAGCGUGGGGAGCAAACAGG